RNAcentral lists this ribosomal RNA (253 nucleotides) under uncultured bacterium. Its description in RNAcentral is "partial 16S ribosomal RNA". It matches the Rfam family "Bacterial small subunit ribosomal RNA", at positions 524 to 776 of the family's 1533-position model. The record is from RNAcentral.
UACGUAGGCAGCGAGCGUUGUUCGGAGUUACUGGGCGUAAAGAGUGCGUAGGCGGUUUUCUAAGUUUGGUGUGAAAUCUCCCGGCUUAACUGGGAGGGUGCGCCGAAAACUGGAAGGCUUGAGUAUGGGAGAGGUAAGCGGAAUUCCUGGUGUAGCGGUGAAAUGCGUAGAUAUCAGGAGGAACACCUGCGGUGUAGACGGCUUACUGGUCCGAUACUGACGCUGAGGUGCGAAAGCGUGGGGAUCGAUCCGG